Molecule: ribosomal RNA, 253 nt
Filed under: uncultured bacterium
Lineage: Bacteria
Description: partial 16S ribosomal RNA
Rfam family: Bacterial small subunit ribosomal RNA
Source: RNAcentral
UACGUAGGGACCGAGCGUUGUCCGGAAUCAUUGGGCGUAAAGAGCGUGUAGGCGGCCACUUAAGUCCUGCGUGAAAUCCUGCGGCUCAACCGCAGGCGGUCGUGGGAAACUGGGUGGCUAGAGUGCGGGAGAGGAGAGUGGAAUUCCUGGUGUAGCGGUGGAAUGCGCAGAUAUCAGGAAGAACACCGGUGGCGAAGGCGGAUCUCUGGGCCUGUCCUGACGCUCAGGCGCGAAAGCUAGGGGAGCAAACAGG